UACGGGGGGGGCAAGCGUUGUUCGGAAUUACUGGGCGUAAAGGGCUCGCAGGCGGCCAACUAAGUCAGACGUGAAAUCCCUCGGCUUAACCGGGGAACUGCGUCUGAUACUGGUUGGCUUGAAUCCGGGAGAGGGAUGUGGAAUUCCAGGUGUAGCGGUGAAAUGCGUAGAUAUUCGGAAGAACACCAGUGGCGAAGGCGGCUCACUGGUCCGGUACUGACGCUGAGGUGCGAAAGCGUGGGGAGCAAACAGG
RNAcentral lists this ribosomal RNA (253 nucleotides) under uncultured bacterium. Its description in RNAcentral is "partial 16S ribosomal RNA". It matches the Rfam family "Bacterial small subunit ribosomal RNA", at positions 524 to 776 of the family's 1533-position model. The record is from RNAcentral.